RNAcentral lists this long non-coding RNA (519 nucleotides) under Citrus sinensis (sweet orange). RNAcentral's name for it is "long non-coding RNA (CSIN_LNC000608)". Lineage: Eukaryota; Viridiplantae; Streptophyta; Magnoliopsida; Sapindales; Rutaceae. The record is from RNAcentral.
ACAUUCUAAUGAUCCCUCAACAACAGAAACAAUAAUCACAAACUGAAAGAGCGCCGACAAGAAAUAAAUUUCAGACAAACUGGCCCUGGAACAUUAGAAAAAGACACCUCAUGCUGCAACUUCCUCUUCUUCUUCCUCGUACUCCUCGUCGUCAGCAGUUGCAUCCUGAUACUGCUGGUACUCUGCCACCAAGUCAUUCAUGUUACUCUCAGCCUCGGUGAACUCCAUCUCGUCCAUUCCCUCACCGGUGUACCAGUGCAAGAAAGCUUUCCUCCGAAACAUAGCCGUAAAUUGCUCACUGACUCGCCUAAACAUCUCCUGAAUUGACGUUGAAUUUCCAAUGAAAGUGGAUGCCAUUUUCAGACCCUUAGGCGGGAUGUCACACACGCUCGACUUGACAUUAUUUGGUAUCCACUCGACAAAGUACGAAGAGUUCUUGUUUUGGACAUUGAUCAUUUGUUCAUCAACCUCUUUAGUACUCAUCUUACCACGGAACAUGGCCGAAGCAGUUAGGUAACG